UUUUUUUUGUCGCAUCUUGCUUUCCCAAAGGCACCCACUCUGGCCUAUUCCUCCUCGCAGCACAUCAUUUAAAUAUCUUGACAAAAUGUUUUCCAGCGAGGCAGAGCUCACUCUUGUCCUGGCAUGAAUAUCUAUCAUGAAGCUGUCAUGAUAUCCUGUCCUGAAAUGAGAUGAGAAAAGUUAUCUGAUCCCUGGAGACUGAAAUGAAUAACGGUGCUGCUGGUUUCCAUCAGCAGGGCCAGCAGCGGAGGCUGAGAGGGGCCCAGCUCAGCUGGUCUUUAAUUCAGUGCAGAGCAUCUUGGACAUCGAGAAGGCAGCAAUAAGAAGCUCGCCGGCCACUGUGUACACACAGGAGCAUGGAGCAUAAUGGAGUGACACCGGCUACCCUCUCCUUAGCUGACUUCAAGAGACUAAAGAAAAUUUAAGACUCAAGAGUCUCCACAUGAUUGAGAAGUCAGAGAGGUGUAUGGGGAAGUCCUCUUGCCUGGAAGCCAGAUAACCUGGAUUCACUUCCAAGUUUACCCCUGACUUCCUUGUGAAGACAUGGCGAGAAGUUGGUCAUCUACCAGCCAGGAAGAGAGCCCUCACCAAGAACCCAAGCAUGCUGGUACCCUAAUCUCAGCCUUCCAGCCUCCAGAACUGCAAUUUUCCUGUGUGUUGGUGAGCCGAAAUCUACAUGUCAUCAACCAAUUGGAUUGGAUGAAAUCCAAAGAAUGAACUAUUAGAAACAAAAUUUGGUUGGUCGCUGUUUGGGAUGUGAAAUGGUUUUGUAAGCAUUUCAGCUUGAUGCCCAGGCAGGCAGUCACAAUAAUUCUUCUCCAAAUAAAUGAGGACUACUAUUUUUUUAUUCAUUACUUCAAUAAGAAAAGUUUAACCAGUGAAAGGAUUUGCAAAACACUGCAUCAUAAAAAUCCUAAAGUCAAUCACAACAGAAGUUAGUGCUCUGUAAAUAUUUUUGCAAAGGUUUGGACGAUCUUUUCUUCCUAUAAAUACUUGUCUACCCAGUAAAGGAAAUGAAAAGUCAAAAGAGAAAAAUGUGUUGUCUCAUUUAUAGUUUGGAACAGCAAAUAUUAUUGAAUUCAGCAGAACUUUUAUUGUGUGCUUUGUGAGUUAUACAUAAGGUGGAAAAGUGGAGUACAUUUCAAGCCAACAUAUUAAGCAACAUAGAAGUGACUUCUGUAAUUAAAUCAUUUUUUAAUCAUCAAAAUUGAAAAUAAGAGAAAACAACUUCUGAAGUCCAGGGUCAAUCAGCUAAAUAAACUCAAGUCAUUCAGUCAACUAGCAUUGAUUGGAUUUCAGCAAGAUGAAAUCGACUUUGCUCCAACUCCACCCACUUCACAAACUAAUUAAAAAAGUACAUCAGCGACAUCUUCAAUCAGCUCAGGAAGAUAAGUGGGCUUCAAAGUAAUCAACUACAAAACUCUGUCAAGAAUAGCAAUAGAUCCUCAAAGAACUUUGGGGAGCUUUCUCAAAGUUAUUCACGUCAAUCAGAAGAACAAAAACUCAGAGCCAUGUGAUUGUAAUUUUAGGGGACCUUUUUGGACAAUGUGGCUGACUUAUAAGAAAGAAAACCACACACCAGCAGGGCAUAUAUUAGCAUCCAAGAUCUCACUCAACUUCAGUCCACCUAAAUUCCCA
Molecule: long non-coding RNA, 1638 nt
Organism: Equus caballus (horse)
Lineage: Eukaryota; Metazoa; Chordata; Mammalia; Perissodactyla; Equidae
Source: Ensembl